CUUAAUUUGUGUUCCAAAGAUGAACGAAGGUCUUACGGGUGUGGAACGGCAUGAGGUUCAGAUUGGGGUGCUAGACGAAGCCCCUCAGCAUCUUAAAGCAUACCGUAAGACUGCAGUUCCUUGAUGAGAACUGUUUUCUUGACAUCAUAGAAGACCUUGCGGAUGUUGUCGGUGUCCGUUGCACAGGUCUUGGCAUCUUGCGCAUCCCGCUGUUUGCCUGAGGGUGGCACCAAACCACAGAGGAGGGGAGGGGUUAGUACAAGCUUAGAAGUUAAGAGUGAUUGAACUGGGAGGAGCACAUGCAAAUUAAAGAGGCGG
Long non-coding RNA from Megalobrama amblycephala (Wuchang bream), 318 nucleotides. RefSeq lists it as uncharacterized. The record is from RefSeq and is a predicted model, not a curated record. The transcript has 3 exons. Lineage: Eukaryota; Metazoa; Chordata; Actinopteri; Cypriniformes; Xenocyprididae.